GGAGAUGUAGUUCAGUAGUAGAACAUGCACAUUUAGAAUGUACGAGACAUGAGUUCGAUUCUCAUCAUCUCCG
RNAcentral lists this transfer RNA (73 nucleotides) under Sclerotinia sclerotiorum 1980 UF-70. RNAcentral describes it as "tRNA-Leu (TAG) (tRNA-Leu-TAG-1-1)". It matches the Rfam family "tRNA". From Rfam's summary of the family: Transfer RNA (tRNA) molecules are approximately 80 nucleotides in length. Lineage: Eukaryota; Fungi; Ascomycota; Leotiomycetes; Helotiales; Sclerotiniaceae. The record is from RNAcentral.